Long non-coding RNA from Zea mays, 350 nucleotides. RefSeq lists it as uncharacterized. The transcript is spliced from 2 exons. NCBI's taxonomy places the organism in Eukaryota, Viridiplantae, Streptophyta, Magnoliopsida, Poales, Poaceae. The record is from RefSeq and is a predicted model, not a curated record.
GAAGUUUAAGAAGCCUAGUGAUGACAUCAAUGGCGACAUGGCUAGCUUGUCCACUCUGUUUGCAAACAGGAAAAAAAGGACACUUUAUGAAGGGUGAUGCCGUCAUUGUUAUUAAAGGCGAUUUGAAAAAUCUAGAGGGUUGGGUUGAGAAAGUAGAGGAUGAAACCGUUCACAUCAGGCCAAAAAUAUCUGAUCUCUCGAAAACAUUAGCCUUCAAUGAAAAGGAGCUUUGCAAAUAUUUCAAGCCUGGUGACCAUGUCAAGGUGAUCUCAGGAGUUCAAGAAGGUGCUACUGGCAUGGUUGUUAAAGUGGAAGGGCAUGUCUUGAUCAUUUUGUCUGACACAACUAAA